RNAcentral lists this ribosomal RNA (253 nucleotides) under uncultured bacterium. RNAcentral's name for it is "partial 16S ribosomal RNA". It matches the Rfam family "Bacterial small subunit ribosomal RNA", at positions 524 to 776 of the family's 1533-position model. The record is from RNAcentral.
UACAGAGGGGGCAAGCGUUGUUCGGAAUUACUGGGCGUAAAGGGCGCGUAGGCGGCCUGCUAAGUCGAACGUGAAAUCCCUGGGCUCAACCCAGGAACUGCGUCCGAUACUGGCAGGCUUGAAUCCGGGAGAGGGAUGUGGAAUUCCAGGUGUAGCGGUGAAAUGCGUAGAUAUCUGGAGGAACACCGGUGGCGAAGGCGGCAUUCUGGACCGACAUUGACGCUGAGGAGCGAAAGCCAGGGGAGCAAACGGG